GAUGAAGAACGUAGCGAAAUGCGAUAAGUAGUGUGAAUUGCAGAAUUCAGUGAAUCAUCGAAUCUUUGAACGCACAUUGCGCCCCUCGGUAUUCCGUGGGGCAUGCCUGUUCGAGCGUCAUUUAACCCCUCAAGCCUAGCUUGGUAUUGGGUGCUUGUCCCGCCUCUCGCGCGGCGACUCACCUCAAAGUCAUUGGCAGCCCGCAUCUCGCCGGCCGUGAGCGCAGCACAGACGCUCUCUUGGCAACGACGGAUCGGCUCUCCAAAAGCUUAUUUCAACCACUGACCUCGGAUCAGGUAGGGAUACCCGCUGAACUUAAGCAUAUCAAUAAGCGGAGGA
Molecule: unclassified non-coding RNA, 339 nt
Filed under: soil metagenome
Description: partial contains 5.8S ribosomal RNA, internal transcribed spacer 2, and large subunit ribosomal RNA
Rfam family: 5.8S ribosomal RNA (bases 1-120)
Source: RNAcentral